This 441-nucleotide ribosomal RNA is filed under the name Triticum aestivum (bread wheat). RNAcentral's name for it is "partial small subunit ribosomal RNA". The record is from RNAcentral. Lineage: Eukaryota; Viridiplantae; Streptophyta; Magnoliopsida; Poales; Poaceae.
AUGAGCUCGUCGCCGCAGGCCUGGUCGCGGACCUUCCAGACGCACUCGAGCUUGAGCACGUCGGAGUCGCCCUUGCUGGGGAAGAGGAGCCGCCAUCCGACCACCUUGAAGAGCAGCUUGCGGGCGUCCUCCUCGGAGAGCGGCGCGGGGUCGGCGUCGAGCGGCACGCGGGAGAGCGAGAGCACGGAGAGCGUGGGAAUGAGGAUGCGGUGCAGCGUGUCCACGUUGCCCAGCGUCUUCUCCCCGAAGUUGCUCGCGAUCUCCUCCGGGAACGGGUCCCGCGCCCCGAAGUCGCCCAGGAUGUCCGCCAUCGCCACCACCUUGCGAACGCUUCUUCCCUUGCUGCUGGUGCCGAAGAGGAGGUUCCGCAUGGCGGCGGCGGGCUUGCCGGCGACGGGGAGGAAGGUCGCGGCCGGGCUGAGCAUGAGCGCCAUGGUGUAG